Molecule: transfer RNA, 92 nt
Filed under: Candidatus Omnitrophota bacterium
Lineage: Bacteria; Pseudomonadati; Candidatus Omnitrophota
Description: Candidatus Omnitrophica bacterium tRNA-Ser
Rfam family: tRNA
About the family: Transfer RNA (tRNA) molecules are approximately 80 nucleotides in length.
Source: RNAcentral
GGAGAGGUCGCGUAGCCUGGUUUAGCGCGCACGCCUGGAGAGCGUGUGUACUCGUAAGAGUACCCAGGGUUCGAAUCCCUGCCUCUCCGCCA